This 468-nucleotide ribosomal RNA is filed under the name uncultured bacterium. RNAcentral's name for it is "partial 16S ribosomal RNA". It matches the Rfam family "Bacterial small subunit ribosomal RNA", at positions 28 to 507 of the family's 1533-position model. The record is from RNAcentral.
GACGAACGCUGGCGGCGUGCUUAACACAUGCCAGUCGAACGGAAAGGCCCUGCUUUUGUGGGGUGCUCGAGUGGCGAACGGGUGAGUAACACGUGAGUAACCUGCCCUUGACUUUGGGAUAACUUCAGGAAACUGGGGCUAAUACCGGAUAGGAGCUCCUGCUGCAUGGUGGGGGUUGGAAAGUUUCGGCGGUUGGGGAUGGACUCGCGGCUUAUCAGCUUGUUGGUGGGGUAGUGGCUUACCAAGGCUUUGACGGGUAGCCGGCCUGGGAGGGUGACCGGCCACAUUGGGACUGAGAUACGGCCCAGACUCCUACGGGAGGCAGCAGUGGGGAAUAGUGCACAAUGGGCGGAAGCCUGAUGCAGCAACGCCGCGUGCGGGAUGACGGCCUUCGGGUUGUAAACCGCUUUCGCCUGUGACGAAGCGUGAGUGACGGUAAUGGGUAAAGAAGCACCGGCUAACUACGUG